This is a non-coding RNA of Coffea arabica (coffee), 1127 nucleotides long. The record is from RefSeq and is a predicted model, not a curated record. NCBI's taxonomy places the organism in Eukaryota, Viridiplantae, Streptophyta, Magnoliopsida, Gentianales, Rubiaceae.
GCCCCGCCACCGGAUGAGAAGAAAGCCCCCCGGGGGGGGGGCGGGGAAGGAGGGGAGAUAAAUACUGGAACUUAAAUGGCUGAAAUGCUUCGGACAACACAAAGAGGAGCAGAAGAAGUAGUCAGAGUGAAACUAAAAACCAAGGAGUAGCUGAAGCCCUGAGAGCAGCACUCUGCUGUGAAUGAUCAGAAUUCAUCGUUUUGACAACAACGCCCCUUCUUCUCUCCUCAAUCAUUCCCACUCCGGCUUCCUAUCUCCUGCCCAUCAUAUUUCAGAUCUUUGAGUGUUUGGAUGCGAAUAUGUCAGCUAAAGGGAUGAGAAUAUCAGUAAGUACAGAGGAGGAACUUGGCAGCAGUAUGGAGAGGAAAGAUGCCGCCGAUGACUUUGGAGAACCUGGUAAUAGUUUAAGUCUGGUAUUUUAGUUUAUACGCAUGCUUCUACCGAUAAUGCAAAUUAUAAUGUAUAACUACCUGCAAAUCCCUCAAAAAUAUACAGAUAUAACUACCUGUAAAUCUACAAAGAAAAUGAAGAGGGUGGAGAUUUGUCUGCAAGAAUAGGUAAUAUGACUUAUAUGCAUGAAAUAAUAAGAACAAGUUUAGUUAAAAAAAAUAUGUUACUAUAAAGAAAGGGAAUGGGUAAAGAAAAUACCUUAUGAUAGCUCCAUCCCUGUGACAUACAGUGGUCCGUGGUGAGGAAGGUUUUUUUAGUUCAGUUUUGAAAUUGCACAUAUUCAUGGUUGGCAUUUGGGAAAUUGAUGAACUCGGAUGUUUGAUCAUUUGUUGUUUAGUGUACCAAAGGACUUCCGAAUCAACCAUACUGUAUAUACUAAACAUCUUAACUAUUUUUUGUUGUUUAGUAUACCAGAGGAGCAUGGUUUUUUGCUGUAGUAUUUACUCCAACAGAGGUAGAUGACAAGAAUAAGCGUGAGGAUGUGUAUCUACAAACAGUGUAUCUUAAAAAGUGCUUAACCACAGGGAAUGUAUGAGGAUCACCUUUUGCAAUUUUUUUUUGAUCGGGGUUCAAAACUCAUUUUUAGUUGUUUUAAUCAGCACAAAACGAAUACACAUGCUCUCAAAUUAUUUUUUAUAUAUCAUUUUCUAGGUGAUGGCAAGCUUAAUCAUGACUUU